This is an RNA transcript of Hyla sarda, 2409 nucleotides long. It is a transcript of the gene named transmembrane protein adipocyte associated 1, with no coding region annotated. The transcript is spliced from 13 exons. NCBI's taxonomy places the organism in Eukaryota, Metazoa, Chordata, Amphibia, Anura, Hylidae. The record is from RefSeq and is a predicted model, not a curated record.
GAGCUGGGCAGCGCUGUGGCAGGCGGCACUGACGUCAGAGUGGCAGUUAGCCGGUCGAUGCCAGUUAGCACCUCAUUAGCAUAUCCCGAAAAUAGAAGAUUACGGCAAAACGGCGCGGCGGAUCCGGGCACGGUCACGUGUCCCCCCUUCAGGAUCUGUCAUCCGGAAGCGGCUGCAUCCAUCGCUCGGCAUUCCACAGGAGCCCCAGCCAAGCGCCGAGCCAUCGAUCACGUAGAGACCAGAUCGGAGGGUUCCCGUGGACGGAGAAGGGAGACAGAGACACCCGUGAUCAGCUGUCAAGUUCAUGAGAGCUCACACUAUUGUCCUGCACAGAUCACACUCAGGAUGUUUUCGGAGACCCAGAACAACUCAGACACCAACGUCACCUCCUUGCCCUAUACUGCCUCAUCCUAUGUGACAUCAGUGCUGCCAACAACAGCCGCUGGAAUCCAUGGCGCCAAUGUUACUGUACCGCCAGUGUGUCUGGUCAUCCUUUAUGAAGACAUAAGAAGCUCCAGGGUGAGAUAUUGGGAUCUCUUGCUCUUAAUUCCCAAUGUCCUUUUCUUUGUGUUCCUGCUGUGGAAGUUGCCAUCAGCCAGAGCAAAAAUUCGAGUCACUUCAAGUCCAAUCUUCACGACCUUCUACAUUCUUGUGUUUGUAGUGGCCCUUGUGGGAAUCACACGAGCAAUUGUAUCUAUGACGGUCAGUUCAUCCAGUGUGGCCACUGUCACAGACAAGGUUUUGUGGGAAAUCACCAGGUUCUUCCUUCUUGCCAUAGAACUGAGCGUUAUCAUCCUGGGUUUAGCUUUUGGUCAUCUUGAAAGUAAAUCCAGUGUGAAGCGGGUGCUUGCUAUUACGGCUGUCCUUUCUCUUGGGUACUCUGUAACACAGGGUACUCUGGAAAUCCUGUACCCAGACUCCCAUCUGUCAGCAGAGGACUUUAAUAUCUAUGGACAUGGUGGCAGGCACUUCUGGCUUGCCAGCUCUUGCUUUUUCUUCUUGGUGUAUACAUUGGUUUCUAUACUCCCCAAAACGCCACUGAAAGACCGCAUCUCUCUUCCAUCAAGAAAAAGUUUUUACGUGUAUGCUAUAAUCCUGGCUGUGCUGAAUUUGGUGCAAGGAGUAGGAAGUGCCCUGCUAUGUGUGGACAUUAUUAAUGGGCUGUGCCUUGUCGACAUUACUACAUUUUUAUACUUUAGCCUGUUUGCUCCUCUCAUGUAUGUCGCAUUCCUGAAAGGCUUCUUUGGGUCUGAGCCCAAAAUUCUUUUCUCUUACAAAUCCCAAGUAGAUGAGCCGGAUGAUACAGACGUCCACCUCCCGCAUCCCUAUGCAGUGGCAAAGAAAGAAGGCACAGACUCUGGAUUUUACUCCAGCACUCAGAUCGACACAACGGCUUAUCUAGAUGACGUGGCCUCUAUGCCUCAUGUUGGGAGCAUUAACAGCAUUGACAGUGACCGCUGGAAAGCUAUCAAUGCUUAAGCCUCCGCUCUCGGUUGAGUCACUAAAACAUCUCACUGGGGUUCUGCCUAACUAACCUCUGGAUAUCUAAACAUUGGAAAAGAUGCAGAAGUUCUUCAGAGUGCAAAUCUCUAUAAAAAUAUUUUUCCCUCCUCUAUGAGCCAUGCUCUUUCGUAAAAUCUCCUAUGGAAAUUGAUUAUACCAGAUACCUUUUCUAUUGCUGCUAAGCGAGGACAAAGAUUGCUGAUCUUGGAUCAAGGUGCAACAUCGUCAGCCUUGGGGAUGAUGGAAGAGGCUGGCAUGGCACGUGUUAAAAUGACUGACACCAUGCGUCAUCAAUACAGUCUCACUGGACUCUCCUCAGUAGGUGCUGGACUCUCUGAGUAGCUGGAUCUUUGCUUGCACUGAGUGUCCUGGCUUUUUCCAUUGUCAGUACUAAGAUCUGAAUGCACAUAUGGUUCACACAAUCGCUGUAGGUGGCAUAGGACCUUCACCUGUGCCAGGCUGUAACAGUAGUCAGCAACGGGCAGCUCUAAAGCAUUUAGGAAACAUUGAAGCCACAGGUUGAAGCUCCCUGUAUUAAAGAUAGAACAAAAUGAGAUAAUGUUAAAGAGCAUCAUCGAUAUGAAAAAUACCACUCUAUAAGCGUUUGAAUCCUUUAUUUGCCAUGUAAAAAAAAUUUGGUUCCAUAAUUUCUUUACAGUCCCUGGAAAUGCUUGGUGACAAACCCCACUGGAGCUUUUACAGCGCCUGCAUUUGCUGUACUGUCGCUUUCUAGAAAGUAGAUAAAAGUUCUGCAUAGCUGUUAUGUUUUCUAGGAAAGCUGGGUGGAAUCACUUUGCAUCAUUUAUGAGAGUAUCUUUCCAUAGCUAGUUAGAUUUGCCAUUGGGGAGGUAGCUAAGGCUGCUUUCACACUAUAAAAUUCAUCCGUUUUAAAGAUCCGUCUGAUGU